Paenibacillus sp. is the source of this 111-nucleotide non-coding RNA. The record is from Rfam. Lineage: Bacteria; Bacillati; Bacillota; Bacilli; Caryophanales; Paenibacillaceae.
AGGUAAUGCCUACUGUACCUUUAUCAUUGUAGGCACUCGGCCAUGCUGUGGGUGAUUUCACCUUAGACAUCUAUUGUCAAGGGUGUGGCGUGAGGGGGGGUUCGAUGCCCC